UUUUCUUUCUAUUUUCUUUCUUUUUUCUCUUUCUCCUUCUUUUCCUUCCUACCUUCCUACCUUCCUUCCCUCCUUCUUUCUUUGAUUUCCAGAGCGAGAGCGUGUUAGUUUGCUAGGACGACCAUCACAAAGGACCACAAAAAGGGUAGCUUCAAACAACAAAAAUGUGUUUCCUCACCAUUGUAGAGCCUAACAUCAGAAAUCAAGGUGUUGGCAGGGUCUGUUCCUUGUGAAGCCUGAACCUUCCUUGCCUCUUCCAGCUCCUGGCGGGCUCCAUGUUCCUUGGCCCGCGGGAGUAUCUCUUCCAUCACCGCCUCCCUCUUCACAGGACCGCCUUCCCCCACCACACUGGACAUGUGGACAUCAAGAGAGCUCGAGGAGGGAGAUCAGCAUCUGAGAAGAAAAGGAAAGGCAGAGAGGGAAUGUGAUUGUUUAUAGGGUUCUAGAGAGGGGAACACAGACAGAAUCUGGAGGGCUCCCACCGCGGAACGGGCGAUUAAUGACUGAAUGCUUAUGAAAGCAUGCCAGGAUCUGCCCUCGAUGCUCGUUGACCAGAGGUGAUCGCGAUAGGAAAUAUUUCCAAGCUCAAGAAGCUCAGAUACCAGGACCGGAGGCAGAAGAAUCUGGAAAAAGCGUGACCGGGAGGAAAGAGGAAAAUCCAGGACCAGUGAAACCACAGAAGAGAAAGGAGGAAGGGUGAAAAGGGGGAGUGGUCAGUAGUGCUAAGUGCCAAACAGAAAGAGGAAGCAAGAUAAGAGCCCAGAGCGGCCAUUAGUUUGAGCAACAAAAGAAUCAUGGCUGACCCCAGUGAGUCUGAUCUGAGUGGAAAGUUGGGGGUGGGAGCCGGAAUCCCACUGGUUAAGAAGUGUGUUCUCAGGGACUGCUCUUGGAAGAUGGCGGGAGGCUUAGGGUCGAAGAAGGUGUGUUAUAAGGGGGGAGACCCUUGAAUGUUUUUAUCCCCAGAGCUGGAACGUUCCAAAGGAAGAAGUUGUGGAAGAGAGAACUGGAUCCACAGAGACACCAUGGGACCCCUGGGAAAGCCGGCGACCAUCCAGAGCCAAGGAGAGGAGCGUCAGAGGAAACCAGUCCUGCCAACACCUUGAUCUUGGACUCGCAGGCUCCAGAGCUGUAAGGUAAUGGAUUUCUGUUGUUUCAGUCCCCCUCCCCCCACC
Molecule: long non-coding RNA, 1172 nt
Filed under: Mustela putorius furo (domestic ferret)
Lineage: Eukaryota; Metazoa; Chordata; Mammalia; Carnivora; Mustelidae
Description: lncRNA (ENSMPUG00000025671.1)
Source: RNAcentral